CGCCGGUCCCGCCGCGGCGGGAGAGGGAGCGGGGCGAGUCCAGCGGGAUUCACCUUCCCGCCUGCGGGACUGUCGGGAGGCACACGGGACGCUCGUUAGCUCCGUGGCUCCACGGAUAACUUCUUGUCAGAGUGUGAACCGUGUUUCCAGUACGGGGUAAACAUGAAGAAGCACUGUCUUGUGACUGGUCAGCAGAGAGCAGCUCAGCAGUCACAGCUUUUCUCAGGGGUCAGUACUGCAGCCUGUAGGCAGAGCCAGUGUGGUGGUGGGGGCAGACCAACUACAGCUACAGUAGCUCUUCCUGCAAGAGCUUUCCAAGCUCAUGGAGUAAGUGAUGAGAUUGGGAACCACUGUGUCCUGCUUAAGGAAUAGCAAUGGAAGCAAACACAUUGACAUACAGACUGGCUAAUGGAGACCCCAAAAACAUAAAGAACAAAUGGGGCUGAUGAAGAAAGCAGGGAUGCCCUUGUGAGAAGAGAAGGGUGGGAUGAAGAGAAAGCCAUUUUGAGGGUAUGCCAUAUGAAGACCCAGGCUACUGCAAUUUCUCAGGGUGGGGGACCACAAAAGUAUGGUGAAGCUCUGUAAGAAGUACAUGCUGUAGGCCUGAAGUGAUUUUUGGUUGGUAACAUACGAUAUUUUAAGAAGAGUCUUAAACUUUCAAGCCCUUCACCUAAAUUCUGAAAACAUAGAGUUUUUCAAUAGUGUGCCUACAUCUGGUAGUUGCAGGAAACUGCCAGUUCCUUGACUCUAGAAUCAUAUUUAAUAUUCCAGCAUAUACAGGAUGCAUACUCUUGUUUCCCCAGAAUGCCCUGAGCUUCUUUUCAAAUUCCUGAUAAAGAAUUAUAAGAAGACUUCAGUAUACACAUUUAUGUAGUUUCUUUAGAGCCAAACUUUACAGAAAAUAACUUAGAUCUGUGUAAAGGACACUGUGACUUGCAUCUAAAAUUGCGUGUGACAUCUUGCACUGGUCAUCAGUUUUUUUUCAUUUUGAAAGCAUAACUUUGCCUAUUGCCUUCAUUUUUAGAGAAUGCUUCCUUCUAUCAUAUUUUCAUACCUAUUCCUGACGCAAGGCUUACAGAGUUCCUGCCAACAUAGCUUUUUAUUUCCACUAAGAACACCUCACCCAGGAACAACAGUGAUGAUUAUCUUGAAUAAAGGCAUUGGCUCUUUUUCA
This 1174-nucleotide long non-coding RNA is filed under the name Chloebia gouldiae (Gouldian finch). RNAcentral describes it as "Erythrura gouldiae (Gouldian finch) lncRNA (ENSEGOG00005001956.1)". The record is from RNAcentral. Lineage: Eukaryota; Metazoa; Chordata; Aves; Passeriformes; Passeridae.